Molecule: ribosomal RNA, 512 nt
Filed under: uncultured Campylobacterota bacterium
Lineage: Bacteria; Pseudomonadati; Campylobacterota
Description: bacterial SSU rRNA
Rfam family: Bacterial small subunit ribosomal RNA
Source: RNAcentral
GAUACGCGAAGAACCUUACCUGGCCUUGACAUUGAAAGAACCUUUAAGAGAUUAGAGGGUGCUAGUUUACUAGAGCUUGAAAACAGGUGCUGCACGGCUGUCGUCAGCUCGUGUCGUGAGAUGUUGGGUUAAGUCCCGCAACGAGCGCAACCCACGUGAUUAGUUACUAACAGUUCGGCUGAGGACUUUAAUCAGACUGCCUUCGCAAGGAGGAGGAAGGUGUGGACGACGUCAAGUCAUCAUGGCCCUUACGGCCAGGGCUACACACGUGCUACAAUGGGGCAUACAAAGAGCCGCGAUACCGUGAGGUGGAGCAAAUCUCAUAAAAUGCCUCCCAGUUCGGAUUGUACUCUGCAACUCGAGUGCAUGAAGUUGGAAUCGCUAGUAAUCGUAGAUCAGCAAUGCUACGGUGAAUACGUUCCCGGGUCUUGUACUCACCGCCCGUCACACCAUGGGAGUUGAUUUCAUUCGAAGCGGGGAUGCUAGGAUAGCUACCUUCCACAGUGGAAUUA